This 1015-nucleotide long non-coding RNA is filed under the name Salmo salar (Atlantic salmon). RNAcentral's name for it is "lncRNA (ENSSSAG00000119770.1)". The record is from RNAcentral. Lineage: Eukaryota; Metazoa; Chordata; Actinopteri; Salmoniformes; Salmonidae.
CACAGGUCGGAAGUCUACAAAAGCUCAAUACAUUGGAGGUGCAAAGAGGCAUUUUAUCAGUUGCUUGUACAUUUUUAUUUAGAUACUAUUUUGGAAGUACAUAGUGCCACAGAUGAUCAAUUAUAUUGAUCAGAUACUCAAGAUGCUGCUCAAACAAUGAAAAGAAAUGUCUUCAAAAUUGGAAGGCAGUCGGGAGGAGGCAAUAUCAGGUGGGACCAUUCUAGCCAAUGAGAGGGCAGAUACGAGUGUGAAGACCAGGCACAAUUCCAAUAUAAGAUGUUUUUUCUCAAAGUUGCAGGGAUGUCACGUGUCCUACUUAUAUCAGUACACUCGUAACAGCUUAAGCAUUACGACACUUAUAUUCGAUCAAAUAAGCCACACUAGCAAAUAAGCCAUUACAUUUUUUGUUAACUAAAUUCGACACACUCUCAUUGACGUCCAUACAAACAAUGUAUGCUUUGUCUGAAAAUGUGGUCAGAGGCUCCGUAUGACGGGUGUGACGCAAUCGCAGACUCCAGAAGUAUGCAGAGGCCAAAUUGAGCUCCAACUGCAUCGCGGUCCGACUCCCAAAUGUUGUAACAAUGCGGAGGGUUCCGUAUAGCUCCGUAAUGACAUGAUUGGUUGAUCGUAGGUGGGGCAGGAGAUCCUGUAUAAACACAAACUCACUUCCUUGACAACAGCUCUGCGCAGCACCGCGAAGCGCAAGAAGUAUGAAUGCAUUGAUUUCUGCAGAGGCCGCAUCACUGCACGGCAACAGAUUGACCAUUGGCCAGGAGAAUUCAGUCAGCAGCAGCCUCAGCAGUGAGACCAAUGAAGGUGAACCAUCUCUCCACCAAGAAGACCUGGAGCUGUCCAAGGCAGGAAGGGAGUAGCUGAGGAAGUAAGAGAAACCACAACGUAAGAGAAUGCUCUGGUUGCUGAUUGCUAAUGGACAAGGAGUGCAGGAUGUCCAUACACAGUGCCUUCAGAAAGUAUUCACACCACUUGUAUUUUUCUUCAUUUUGUUGUGUUACAG